UAUUAGAAAUAUUUUGAUCUGAAAUUUCAAAUUAAAGCAAGCAUAUUUCCUUUUUUCUUUUUCAAGGUAACCAUUGGUAGAAUCAAUAGUUAUAGCCCAUAACUGUUGUUAACGACAGAAGAAAGCAAAGAGUUGAGCUCAUUAGCGACACGCGAUAGACGAAUAAAAAAAGGUAAUGGCAAAUCAAAAUGCUCGCAAGGAUAUGCAGAGCAAAAAGUGGCGAGCUAUCGCUGACGAGGCGCAAAUCAGUUACAACUAUGGCCAGUUAUCUCAGCGGGUCAUCUCUUCACGAAAGGACAAUUAUGAGUGGACAUGCUAAUUUGUGCGUGGCGCUGGACAUGCAGGACACAUCGCAGAAGACACGCGCCAAAGCAGAAUACCUCAAUAUUUGUUGAGCGAACGUGAUUUGGCGCAUUCGUCCAGGACAAAAGAGGACGAGAACUGGUCAGACAGACCGCGCCCUAAAGUCUAAAACGAGAAAGCGAAGGCAAAACCAAAGACAAGGGGCGCGCCAGUUGCGACAAAUCCUUUGACACACGCACUCAUGCCACAUUGGCGUUGCCUAAAAGUAUGCAAAAUGUUUUGUUCACGCUGCACAAACAGGCGCUUUCAACAAACCACAUACUAGAGCUGGAGCAAAGAUGGAUGUCGAGCUGAAUGGCAAUGUCUGUCUCCCGCAUUGGGAACUGGCAACUGGCAAACUGGCAAACUAGAGUCGGAGUCCGAGAAUGACUCCGCCCCAGACAGAGCUUGCCACAUGCCACACACACACACUUACACAGAGGCCACACCCCAAAGCACAUUUCGCAGUGGUUGGCGUGCGCGUCUUUUGAUGUUUUAACUUCGUCUUCGUCUCGCAAGAAAAUGCCUCAAGCUGACGGGUUUUCUAAUAUUCCAAGAUGCCUGGAAACUGCCGCCGAAACUGGUUAUAAAAAUGGUUGAAAGGUAAAUGGAAGAUAGAAGCAUGACAGCAUGACGUCAAUUACAGGCACUUGACGGUUAAUUAGAAGCUCAUUUUCAAUUAAUCAAAACGCCAAAAGAAACGCCAAUAACAUCAGUUGGCUAACUUAACGGCAUCGCGUGUGCAAGCCAAAAAUAAAAGCUGAGGAAUACAGAGAUGAGGGGAAGAGAAUGGAGGACAAUGUCAACGCCAAUUGAUUGCCACAUCGCAUUAAUAAUUCAACAGGAUCUCUCGUUGGUGUCGUUGAUUUCAAUUGAACGAAAAGUUGAAGUCGAGCAUCUCAUUUCGUACGCUAAAUUAUUCGAGACUUUGGGGACAGCGCGUGGAACAUCAACAGCCUAUCCACUUGCCAUUAACUUUAGCUUCAUCUUCGACCUGCGCAGGUUAAGCUGCCACAUGCUACUUGCCACACACACACAGAGCAGCGUACGGCACACCUAUAAACAUUAACUUGUCAAUAAAGAUUUCAUUCUCUAAAAACUAACGCCGAAUCAAGCUAAUUCCACAAAAGUAAAGUGAAAUACUCAACAUUUGCACUUGGACAGCUCUGACGUAUACUUAUUAUUAUUACAUACACAUUAGUGGCUCAAGAGAAUGUUCAAUAAUUCAAGGAAAUACGUUUGCCUUGAACUGAAUAUAAAGAGCUGUGUUGACUCACUGCAGAACAUAUGCGACAGCCGAGAGUCCACAAGCCGCCUGCCACAUGCCACACGCCGCAUGCAUAUGCAACUCAGUUACGAGUUACGAUUUCGGUGAGUAAUUAUUCAUGCCAAGAACAAGAACUGUAAACAGUGCUAACUCAAUUCGAAAACCAACACGAGAAGCAAACAAACUGAAAGACUGAAGGACAAUGGACAAAAGUAGGCAGAACGAUGAGCAUGUGAAUCCCGUUUGCAUAACGAGUGACGCUCGAGUGGGCAGCACUUAAGGACUUGAGCAUGGACAUGGAUUUCGGUGACGGGAGUUGUGGGUGUUGAGAGUCGAGAGACGGGACAUGUGUCUGUGUGGGGACGACGGAACCAUUACUUAAUUAUCAUAACAGCCAGGGCCAGGAUCGCGGUGUUUUUGGCCAAAAGGGUUAAGAGAGCAUUGCCCAU
Long non-coding RNA from Drosophila nasuta, 2058 nucleotides. RefSeq lists it as uncharacterized. The record is from RefSeq and is a predicted model, not a curated record. The transcript is spliced from 3 exons. Lineage: Eukaryota; Metazoa; Arthropoda; Insecta; Diptera; Drosophilidae.